Molecule: transfer RNA, 73 nt
Filed under: Candidatus Woesearchaeota archaeon
Lineage: Archaea; Nanobdellati; Candidatus Woesearchaeota
Description: tRNA-Pro
Rfam family: tRNA
About the family: Transfer RNA (tRNA) molecules are approximately 80 nucleotides in length. Their secondary structure includes four short double-helical elements and three loops (D, anti-codon, and T loops).
Source: RNAcentral
GGGGCUAUGGUGUAACUUGGUAUCACUUAUGGUUUGGGACCAUACAAUCGGGGUUCAAAUCCUCGUAGCCCCA